Non-coding RNA from Acanthosepion pharaonis, 111 nucleotides. NCBI's taxonomy places the organism in Eukaryota, Metazoa, Mollusca, Cephalopoda, Sepiida, Sepiidae. The record is from the annotation of a GenBank genome assembly.
CAGCCAUAUUGUGUUGAAACACUUGUUCCAGUACAAUCACCAAAGUUAAGCAAUGUUGAGCUUGGUCAGUACCUCAAUGGGUGACCACUUGGAAAUACCAGAUGCUGUAAG